CUGCCCUUGACUCUGGCAUACCCCUGGGAAACUGGGUCUAAUACUGGAUAUGACUGACUAUCGCAUGGUGGUUGGUGGAAAGCUUUUGUGGUUUUGGAUGGACUCGCGGCCUAUCAGCUUGUUGGUGGGGAAAUGGCCUACCAAGGCGACGACGGGUAGCCGGCCUGAGAGGGUGGACGGCCACACUGGGACUGAGACACGGCCCAGACUCCUACGGGAGGCAGCAGUGGGGAAUAUUGCACAAUGGGCGCAAGCCUGAUGCAGCGACGCCGCGUGAGGGAUGAAGGCCUUCGGGUUGUAAACCUCUUUCAGUAGGGAAGAAGCGAAAGUGACGGUACCUGCAGAAGAAGCGCCGGCUAACUACGUGCCAGCAGCCGCGGUAAUACGUAGGGCGCAAGCGUUAUCCGGAAUUAUUGGGCGUAAAGAGCUCGUAGGCGGUUUGUCGCGUCUGCCGUGAAAGUCCGGGGCUUAACUCCGGAUCUGCGGUGGGUACGGGCAGACUUGAGUGAUGUAGGGGAGACUGGAAUUCCUGGUGUAGCGGUGAAAUGCGCAGAUAUCAGGAGGAACACCGAUGGCGAAGGCAGGUCUCUGGGCAUUAACUGACGCUGAGGAGCGAAAGCAUGGGGAGCGAACAGGAUUAGAUACCCUGGUAGUCCAUGCCGUAAACGUUGGGCACUAGGUGUGGGGGACAUUCCACGUUUUCCGCGCCGUAGCUAACGCAUUAAUUGCCCCGCCUGGGGAGUACGGCCGCAAGGCUAAAACUCAAAGGAAUUGACGGGGGCCCGCACAAGCGGCGGAGCAUGCGGAUUAAUUCGAUGCAACGCGAAGAACCUUACCAAGGCUUGACAUGAACCGGAACGGCCAAAAAUGUGUCGGCCACUUGUGGCCGGUUUACAGGUGGUGCAUG
Molecule: ribosomal RNA, 907 nt
Filed under: Arthrobacter sp. D61(2006)
Lineage: Bacteria; Bacillati; Actinomycetota; Actinomycetes; Micrococcales; Micrococcaceae
Description: bacterial SSU rRNA
Rfam family: Bacterial small subunit ribosomal RNA
Source: RNAcentral